AGCUCCAAUAGCGUAUAUUAAAGUUGUUGCAGUUAAAAAGCUCGUAGUUGGAUUUGUGGUUUGACCUGUGGUCCCAUUUUGGGUACAUGUGGGUCGUACCAUGUUUGGGUGGAUCUCGCUCGGCAUUAGGUUGUCGUCCGGGGGAUGCCCAUCGUUUACUGUGAAAAAAUUAGAGUGUUCAAAGCAGGCUUAUGCCGAUGAAUAUAUUAGCAUGGAAUAAUGAGAUAGGACCUGGGUGCUAUUUUGUUGGUUUGCGCGCCGAGGUAAUGAUUAACAGGAACGGUUGGGGGUCUUCGUAUUCCAUUGUCAGAGGUGAAAGCUCGUAGUUGAAUUUGUGGCGCGGCCAUCCGGCGGGGGCUCUUCAUUGAGCCCGUUUGUCCUGGUUUUUGGCCGUUCCUUUCUCGGGUAGCGUGUGGCUGGCAUUAGGUUGUUGGCUGCUUCGCGCCCGUCUUUUACUGUGAAAAAAUUAGAGUGUUCAAAGCAGGCUUAGGCCGUUGGAUACAUUAGCAUGGAAUAAUAAGAUAGGGCCACGACGGUCUAUUUUGUUGGUUUGCACGUUGUGGUAAUGGUUAACAGGAAUAGUUGGGGGUAUUCGUAUUCAAUUGUCAGAGGUGAAAUUCUUGGAUUUGUGGAAGACGAACUACUGCGAAAGCAUUUACCAAGGAUGUUUUCA
This 673-nucleotide ribosomal RNA is filed under the name uncultured eukaryote. RNAcentral's name for it is "SSU rRNA". It matches the Rfam family "Eukaryotic small subunit ribosomal RNA", at positions 587 to 972 of the family's 1831-position model. The record is from RNAcentral.